This 211-nucleotide non-coding RNA is filed under the name Candidatus Merdivicinus intestinavium. Its description in RNAcentral is "6S RNA". It matches the Rfam family "6S / SsrS RNA". From Rfam's summary of the family: E. coli 6S RNA was the first non coding RNA to be sequenced, but its function was unknown until recently. It consists of 184 nucleotides that fold into an extended hairpin structure with a large single-stranded internal bulge. Lineage: Bacteria; Bacillati; Bacillota; Clostridia; Eubacteriales; Oscillospiraceae. The record is from RNAcentral.
AGGCGUCUGCCUUGUUCGAGCAAGUACAGUUCUUUUAAAUCCGAACACUAUAUAAUUCGGGAAUCUUGCUCUGCAUGCGGGAUGCAGACCUCCCGGCCCCGCCGAUUUAUCCGCGGGACCACCGGACGAAGGGAGCGCGAUGUAUACAGGCGGAUACCCACCUGCUGAGAAGCGGGUUUAUUCUGCUGUACGACGGCAAGGUGGAGUUUUU